AUAUGGGGCAGGGAUGGAAGAUAUGGGGCAGGGAAUGGAAGAUAUGGGGCAGGGAUGGAAGAUAUGGGGCAGGGAUGGAGGAUAUGGGGCAGGGAUGGAAGAUAUGGGGCAGGGAUGGAAGAUAUGGGGCAGGGGAUGGAAGAUAUGGGCAGGAUGGACAGAUAUGGGCAGGAAUGGAAGCUAUGGGUCACCCCCCACGCGCAGCGCAGUUAUGCGGCAAUUGAUGUGUUUGUUAUGGCUUUAUAGGGCAGCAUAUAGGCAAGCCUAUGGGGCAGCUAUUUGGCAGCUAUGGGCAGCUAAUGGGCAACUAUUAGGGCAGCUAUGGGCGUUAUAGGGCCACUAUAGGGCAUCUGUAGACCCCGUGCCGCUAUUGGGCAGCUAUGGGUCAUUAUAAGGCAGUUAUAGGGUGGCUAUGGGGCAGCUAUAGGGCCGCUAUGGGGCAGCUAUAGGGCAGCUAUGGGGCCACUAUAGGGCAUCUGUAGGGCUGCUAUGGGGCAGCUAUGGGUCAUUAUAAGGCAGUUAUAGGGUGGGCUAUGGGGCAGCUAUAGGGCCGCUUUGGGGCAAGCUAAGGGCAGCUCAUGGCCACAUAUAGCGGCAUCU
Molecule: long non-coding RNA, 600 nt
Filed under: Coturnix japonica (Japanese quail)
Lineage: Eukaryota; Metazoa; Chordata; Aves; Galliformes; Phasianidae
Description: lncRNA (ENSCJPG00005002553.1)
Source: RNAcentral